Molecule: ribosomal RNA, 344 nt
Filed under: Staphylococcus aureus
Lineage: Bacteria; Bacillati; Bacillota; Bacilli; Caryophanales; Staphylococcaceae
Description: bacterial SSU rRNA
Rfam family: Bacterial small subunit ribosomal RNA
Source: RNAcentral
UAGUUGGUAAGGUAACGGCUUACCAAGGCAACGAUGCAUAGCCGACCUGAGAGGGUGAUCGGCCACACUGGAACUGAGACACGGUCCAGACUCCUACGGGAGGCAGCAGUAGGGAAUCUUCCGCAAUGGGCGAAAGCCUGACGGAGCAACGCCGCGUGAGUGAUGAAGGUCUUCGGAUCGUAAAACUCUGUUAUUAGGGAAGAACAUAUGUGUAAGUAACUGUGCACAUCUUGACGGUACCUAAUCAGAAAGCCACGGCUAACUACGUGCCAGCAGCCGCGGUAAUACGUAGGUGGCAAGCGUUAUCCGGAAUUAUUGGGCGUAAAGCGCGCGUAGGCGGUUUU